CUGUUUUGGAACCGGUUGAUUGAAGGUGUGAAGCUUAGGUCUUAAGAGUUACAUAUGCGUCUGAAGCACUGCAACUAUAAAACAGACAACACCAGGGUUACCUGGAUAAACAUGACGACAGAGUUGGGGAAAAUGGACAUUUCAUGCAGCUCUGGUGACAAUCCGCCAUGGAUAAUUAUUGAUAAUAAGAUGUACGACAUCAGUGGCUACGUGUCCCAACAUCCAGGAGGUGACAUCAUACUGAAGCAUGCUGGGAAGGAUGCCACACUCGCCUUCCAGCACCAGCCAGCUCACAGGGUUGUGAAGGGACUGAUUGCAGAAAAACUGAAGACAAUGUAUGUCAAAGAUGUCAGCAAUCCAAGCAGCUGAUCACAAUUUUCUCAGCUUAAAUUGCACAGAACUUUAAAUUAGGCAGCAGAGUUGUCAAAUGUACAGACAUGAUCAUGCACCAAUGGACACUUUGAGGAAAAUAUUGAAUCAUGAUAGAAAUAGAAGUGGACCAUUGCAGGUACUAUUAAAAGUUUGAGGGGAUUUACUAGGUUUCAGCAAAAAUAAAUGGACUCUAUGGGAGAUACAGUGUCAAUAAGACAUUUUUUCAUAAGUUAACUUCUGUGAUAGUUGUAAGACAAUGCCUGAUUUUGUGAGUUCAAUCCACCAGCCUCUGAUAAUUAUAUCAAGAAACAAAACAACAGUAUGUGUCCAACUGCAACAAAACAUUUAUUCUCAGAUUCUGGGCUUAUGUAUACAAAUAAGUACAAUGAAAUGAUGUUACGUGAUUAUGUCAGGUCACAUACGCAUGCUGUAAAAUAAAUAAUGUUAUGUAUAAUCUUUAUCCUUUCACGAUUGUUUAUUUUGUAAUCCAAGUACAUAUCAAGUUUCAAAUGUACAUCUUGUUCUUGAGACUUCACACUCUAUUGCUUUACUGUGUAAUGCCCCUAUUUCACACAGACCACGAAUCCCACGAAUGGCCAUGAAUUGACAAAUUUCACGAUUUGU
Molecule: unclassified non-coding RNA, 996 nt
Filed under: Lingula anatina
Lineage: Eukaryota; Metazoa; Brachiopoda; Lingulata; Lingulida; Lingulidae
Description: cytochrome b5, transcript variant X3
Source: RNAcentral